CUCUUCGGGGAUGAUUAAACCGGCGCACGGGUGAUUACACGCGAGUGACCUGCCUUUUAGACUGGAACAACUUACCGAAAGGUGAGCUAAUGCCGGAUGAGUUAUAUAAGUGCAUGUUUAUAUAGGAAAAGUUGGGGAGACCUGACGCUGAAAGAUGGACUCGCGUCCCAUUAGCUAGUUGGUAGGGUAAUGGCCUACCAAGGCGACGAUGGGUAGCCGGCCUGAGAGGGUGGCCGGCCACACUGGGACUGAGACACGGCCCAGACUCCUACGGGAGGCAGCAGUGGGGAAUUUUGCGCAAUGCUCGUAAGAGUGACGCAGCGACGCCGCGUGAAUGACGAAGGCCUUCGGGUCGUAAAGUUCUUUCGACAGGGAAGAAAAUGCCUAUAAGUAACUGUGUAUGUAUUGACGGUACCUGUAUAAGCAGCCCCGGCUAACUCCGUGCCAGCAGCCGCGGUAAUACGGAGGGGGCGAGCGUUGUUCGGAGUGACUGGGCGUAAAGAGCACGUAGGCGGUGUUGUAAGUCAUUAGUCAAAGACUAGAGCUCAACUUUAGUAAGGCUAGUGAUACUAUAAUACUAGAGUAUCAGAGAGGAUUGCAGAAUUCCUGGUGUAGCGGUGAAAUGCGUAGAUAUCAGGAGGAAUACCGUUAGCGAAGGCGGCAAUCUGGCUGGAAACUGACGCUGAGGUGCGAAAGCGUGGGUAGCAAACAGGAUUAGAUACCCUGGUAGUCCACGCUGUAAACGAUGGAUGCUAGGUGUUGGGCUUUUAAUUCAGUGCCGCAGCAAACGCGAUA
This 795-nucleotide ribosomal RNA is filed under the name uncultured bacterium. RNAcentral's name for it is "bacterial SSU rRNA". It matches the Rfam family "Bacterial small subunit ribosomal RNA", at positions 76 to 862 of the family's 1533-position model. The record is from RNAcentral.